Molecule: long non-coding RNA, 531 nt
Organism: Canis lupus familiaris (dog)
Lineage: Eukaryota; Metazoa; Chordata; Mammalia; Carnivora; Canidae
Exons: 3
Source: RefSeq, a predicted model, not a curated record
CCGCCCCCGCCGUCCCCCCGCGGAUCCCGACCCCGGCGGCGACCACCCCCACCCCACAAAGAACGGCGGGGCGGGGGCGGGGCGGGGCGGGGGCCCGGCUUACCGUGAUGUGCGGAAUGCUCUUCUUGCCUUGGUGGAGAAGCUGAGGUUCAAGAGGGCAAAGGGCCUCGGCUGGAAACAGGGGUUACCGGUACCGACCCGGGCAUCUGGAUCCGCAGCCCUGAAGUCUCCCGCUCGCGCUCAGAAGCCUGAACCCCAAACAGGGUCGACCACGAGGGAAGCAAGUGGUCAGGGAGAAUAAGAAGGGGGCGCCGACUUCAGGACCACGGAGAGUUCCCGAGCUCCGGGGGCGGAAGGCCGAGAGCCCGAGGAUGGGAGCAGGAGAUCCCGUACUGCGUCCAAGCAGCCGCAGGCCGGCCCAGCCCCCACUCCUCCAGGAAGCCCUCCCAGAUUUCCGUCUGGAUCGAGCUCUGCUUCCUCCCGCUCACUUUAUGCCUCUCAUAGUAUUUAAGGGGAGAAGGGGCAAUAAAA